RNAcentral lists this ribosomal RNA (253 nucleotides) under uncultured bacterium. RNAcentral's name for it is "partial 16S ribosomal RNA". It matches the Rfam family "Bacterial small subunit ribosomal RNA", at positions 524 to 776 of the family's 1533-position model. The record is from RNAcentral.
UACAGAGGGGGCAAGCGUUAUUCGGAAUUAUUGGGCGUAAAGGGCGCGUAGGCGGCCUGACAAGUGGAAGGUGAAAUCCCUCGGCUUAACCGAGGAACUGCCCUCCAAACUGUUUGGCUUGAGACCGGGAGAGGUGAGUGGAAUUCCCAGUGUAGCGGUGAAAUGCGUAGAUAUUGGGAGGAACACCAGUGGCGAAGGCGGCUCACUGGACCGGUACUGACGCUGAGGUGCGAAAGCGUGGGGAGCAAACAGG